GCAGAGAGUGUCCAGUCUGCUGUCUCUAUCUGGAAUCUCUCAGACUAAAUUCAUUUAUGCUCAUAUUUGUCGUUUCCCUCAAAGUUUAAAUCUGUAUCCCAUAAUUUCUGUUCAAAACGAGCCAAAAGAGGCUCCUCAAAUCCUCACGAAAACCGAUCGGCUGUAAUUUAAGAGCAGAAUUUGCAUGACGUUGACAAAUACUUCCCAUAAUUGAUUAAAUUCAGCUCUGAGUGUCGUGUAAGUAUCGAUCAUUCCUUCCUCUGACAGCAUGCACCUUCUGAUCUGAGAUAUUCUCUCUUCUCACCUGUUCACCUUCUUCUUCUUCCUGUUGCUGAGUGUUUAGCUGCAGUGUCCAGGUGGUUUCAGUCCUGCUGUACCACUGGUCUGGUUUGUUCUAUGAGCUUAUAAACUCAGUGUUCUGCUGCUUGACCCUCAGUCCUUCCUGAAAUAAACUUUAUGUUCAGUGAGUCGACAAGCAUUUUUUCAAGAACAAAUCUUGGAAAGUAUUUGACCUUUUAAUGUAAAAUUUCACUGAAUAAAUAUUUAUGUUGAAGUUUCAUAGAAUCAGGGGUUGUUGAGCAGAAGGCUGCUGAUGGUUUAAGAUGGAGUAAACCAACGUGUCUGGAAGUCGAAGAACAACAGCAGCUGCUUCCAGAUCUACAACUGUCAGAUUUAUUUUGUUUAAAGCCACCAUGCUCAGAUUUACGGCUUAUUGGUGUGUUUUAGGGAUUAGAUGUUUGUUAAGAGGCUCAGGAUGAUGAUUACAGGUCAGCUUUUCAGAUUCUACUCUGGAACCUGAACCCUGAGGUGGUUGUUCUUCUGGAGGUUGUUGUUCUUCUGGAGGUUGUUGUUCUUCUGGAGGUUGUUGUUCUUCUGGAGGUUGUUGUUCUUCUGGAGGUUGCUGUUCUUCUGGAGGUUGCUGUUCUUCUGGAGGUUGCUGUUCUUCUGGAGGUUGUUGUUCUUCUGGACGUUGUUGUUCUUCUAGAGGUUGUGUUUCUUCUGGAGGUUGUUGUUCUUCUAGAGGUUGUGUUUCUUCUGGACGUUGUUCUUCUGGAGGUUGUGUUUCUUCUGGAGGUUGUGUUUCUUCUGGAGGUUGUUGUUCUUCUAGAGGUUGUUGUUCUUCUGGAGGUUGUUGUUCUUCUGGAGGUUGUUGUUCUUCUAGAGGUUGUGUUUCUUCUGGACGUUGUUGUCCUUCUGGAGGUGGUUGUUCUUCUGGAGGUUGUGUUUCUUCUGGACGUUGUGUUUCUUCUGGACGUUGUGUUUCUUCUGGAUGUUGUUGUUCUUCUAGAGGUUGUUGUUCUUCUGGACGUGUGUUUCUUCUGCACGUUGUUGUCCUUCUGGAGGUUGUUUUUCUUCUGGAGGUUGUUUUUCUUCUGGAGGUUUUGUUUUUCUUCUGGAGGUUUUGUUUUUCUUCUGGAGGUUUUGUUUUUCUUCUGGAGGUUUUGUUGUUCUUCUGGAGGUUUUGUUGUUCUUCUGGAGGUUUUGUUGUUCUUCUGGAGGUUGUGUUUCUGACGUCGGUGU
This is a long non-coding RNA of Acanthochromis polyacanthus (spiny chromis), 1521 nucleotides long. RefSeq lists it as uncharacterized. The record is from RefSeq and is a predicted model, not a curated record. Lineage: Eukaryota; Metazoa; Chordata; Actinopteri; Pomacentridae. The transcript is spliced from 3 exons.